CAUGCAGUCGAGCGAUGAAGCACCUUCGGGUGUGAAUUAGCAGCGAACGGGUGAGGAACACGUGAGAAAUCUGCCUUCAACACUGGGAUAACUCCGGGAAACCGGGGCUAAUACCGGAUAUGAAACCUGCGGGCAUCCGCGGGUUUGGAAAGUUUUUCGGUUGAAGAUGAUCUCGCGGCCUAUCAGCUUGUUGGUGAGGUGAUGGCUCACCAAGGCGACGACGGGUAGCCGGCCUGAGAGGGCGACCGGCCACACUGGGACUGAGACACGGCCCAGACUCCUACGGGAGGCAGCAGUGGGGAAUAUUGGGCAAUGGAGGAAACUCUGACCCAGCGACGCCGCGUGCGGGAUGAAGGCCUUCGGGUUGUAAACCGCUUUCAGCAGGGAAGAAGCGAAAGUGACGGUACCUGCAGAAGAAGCACCGGCUAACUAUGUGCCAGCAGCCGCGGUAAUACAUAGGGUGCAAGCGUUGUCCGGAAUUAUUGGGCGUAAAGAGCUCGUAGGUGGUUCGUCACGUCGGAUGUGAAACUCUGGGGCUUAACCCCAGACCUGCAUUCGAUACGGGCGAGCUUGAGUAUGGUAGGGGAGUCUGGAAUUCCUGGUGUAGCGGUGGAAUGCGCAGAUAUCAGGAGGAACACCAAUGGCGAAGGCAGGACUCUGGGCCAUUACUGACACUGAGGAGCGAAAGCGUGGGGAGCGAACAGGAUUAGAUACCCUGGUAGUCCACGCCGUAAACGGUGGGCACUAGUUGUGGGGACCUUCCACGGCCUCUGCGACGCAGCUAACGCAUUAAGUGCCCCGCCUGGGGAGUACGAUCGCAAGAUUAAAACUCAAAGGAAUUGACGG
This 846-nucleotide ribosomal RNA is filed under the name uncultured Actinomycetes bacterium. RNAcentral describes it as "bacterial SSU rRNA". It matches the Rfam family "Bacterial small subunit ribosomal RNA", at positions 54 to 916 of the family's 1533-position model. The record is from RNAcentral. Lineage: Bacteria; Bacillati; Actinomycetota; Actinomycetes.